This 315-nucleotide ribosomal RNA is filed under the name uncultured bacterium. RNAcentral's name for it is "bacterial SSU rRNA". It matches the Rfam family "Bacterial small subunit ribosomal RNA", at positions 28 to 334 of the family's 1533-position model. The record is from RNAcentral.
GAUAAACGCUGGCGGCGUGCGUAACACAUUCAAGUCGAACGGACCUUAUGGAAUAGCUUGCUAGGAAGUAAGGUUAGUGGCGGACGGGUGAGUAACGCGUGAGCAACCUGCCUAUCAGUGGGGAAUAACGUUUGGAAACGAACGCUAAUACCGCAUAAUGUAUACUGACCGCAUGUUUAGUAUACCAAAGAUUUAUUGCUGAUAGAUGGGCUCGCGUCUGAUUAGGUAGUUGGUGAGGUAACGGCCCACCAAGGCGACGAUCAGUAGCCGGACUGAGAGGUUGACCGGCCACAUUGGGACUGAGAUACGGCCCAG